GACGAACGCUGGCGGCGUGCCUAAUACAUGCAAGUCGAGCGCAGGAAAUCGACGGAACCCUUCGGGGGGAAGUCGACGGAAUGAGCGGCGGACGGGUGAGUAACACGUAAAGAACCUGCCCUCAGGUCUGGGAUAACCACGAGAAAUCGGGUCUAAUACCGGAUGGGUCAUCGGACCGCAUGGCCCGAGGAUGAAAGGCGCUUCGGCGUCGCCUGGGGAUGGCUUUGCGGUGCAUUAGCUAGUUGGUGGGGUAAUGGCCCACCAAGGCGACGAUGCAUAGCCGACCUGAGAGGGUGAUCGGCCACACUGGGACUGAGACACGGCCCAGACUCCUACGGGAGGCAGCAGUAGGGAAUCUUCCACAAUGGACGAAAGUCUGAUGGAGCAACGCCGCGUGAACGAUGAAGGCCUUCGGGUCGUAAAGUUCUGUUGUAAGGGAAGAACAAGUGCCGCAGGCAAUGGCAGCACCUUGACGGUACCUUGCGAGAAAGCCACGGCUAACCACGUGCCAGCAGCCGCCGUAA
Molecule: ribosomal RNA, 524 nt
Filed under: uncultured bacterium
Lineage: Bacteria
Description: partial 16S ribosomal RNA
Rfam family: Bacterial small subunit ribosomal RNA
Source: RNAcentral